RNAcentral lists this ribosomal RNA (504 nucleotides) under uncultured bacterium. Its description in RNAcentral is "bacterial SSU rRNA". It matches the Rfam family "Bacterial small subunit ribosomal RNA", at positions 107 to 607 of the family's 1533-position model. The record is from RNAcentral.
UGAGUAAUGUCUGGGAAACUGCCUGAUGGAGGGGGAUAACUACUGGAAACGGUAGCUAAUACCGCAUAACGUCUUCGGACCAAAGUGGGGGACCUUCGGGCCUCAUGCCAUCAGAUGUGCCCAGAUGGGAUUAGCUAGUAGGUGGGGUAAUGGCUCACCUAGGCGACGAUCCCUAGCUGGUCUGAGAGGAUGACCAGCCACACUGGAACUGAGACACGGUCCAGACUCCUACGGGAGGCAGCGGUGGGGAAUAUUGCACAAUGGGCGCAAGCCUGAUGCAGCCAUGCCGCGUGUAUGAAGAAGGCCUUCGGGUUGUAAAGUACUUUCAGCGAGGAGGAAGGCAUUAAGGUUAAUAACCUUAGUGAUUGACGUUACUCGCAGAAGAAGCACCGGCUAACUCCGUGCCAGCAGCCGCGGUAAUACGGAGGGUGCAAGCGUUAAUCGGAAUUACUGGGCGUAAAGCGCACGCAGGCGGUCUGUCAAGUCGGAUGUGAAAUCCCCGGG